CGGGUACUGCCCUUCUCGUAAUACGGUUGCAUUCCAGUGGCCUUAAGCAAUUCCGAGGGAGCUGGCUCUGUCCGGACCCUGGUUCGGUUACCUGGCGCCCACCUGUAUAAACAGGUCCUCCGGAAUGAGAUAACCAUACGGAAGGUGCGGUCCCGCC
Molecule: non-coding RNA, 157 nt
Filed under: Primorskyibacter flagellatus
Lineage: Bacteria; Pseudomonadati; Pseudomonadota; Alphaproteobacteria; Rhodobacterales; Roseobacteraceae
Description: Pseudooceanicola flagellatus 6S / SsrS RNA
Rfam family: 6S / SsrS RNA
About the family: E. coli 6S RNA was the first non coding RNA to be sequenced, but its function was unknown until recently.
Source: Rfam by way of RNAcentral